AGCCGCGGUAAGACGAACCGUGCGAACGUUGUUCGGAAUCACUGGGCUUAAAGGGCGCGUAGGCGGGCUCGCAAGUCAGGGGUGAAAUCCCACGGCUCAACCGUGGAAGUGCCUUUGAUACUGCGGGUCUUGAGGGAGGUAGGGGCGUGCGGAACUUCCGGUGGAGCGGUGAAAUGCGUAGAUAUCGGAAGGAACACCGGUGGCGAAAGCGGCGCGCUGGACCUCUACUGACGCUGAGGCGCGAAAGCCAGGGGAGCAAAC
RNAcentral lists this ribosomal RNA (261 nucleotides) under uncultured bacterium. RNAcentral's name for it is "partial 16S ribosomal RNA". It matches the Rfam family "Bacterial small subunit ribosomal RNA", at positions 513 to 773 of the family's 1533-position model. The record is from RNAcentral.